Molecule: ribosomal RNA, 468 nt
Filed under: uncultured bacterium
Lineage: Bacteria
Description: partial 16S ribosomal RNA
Rfam family: Bacterial small subunit ribosomal RNA
Source: RNAcentral
GACGAACGCUAGCGGCGUGCUUAACACAUGCAAGUCGAACGGAAAGGCCCUGCUUUUGUGGGGUGCUCGAGUGGCGAACGGGUGAGUAACACGUGAGUAACCUGCCCUUGACUUUGGGAUAACUUCAGGAAACUGGGGCUAAUACCGGAUAGGAGCUCCUGCUGCAUGGUGGGGGUUGGAAAGUUUCGGCGGUUGGGGAUGGACUCGCGGCUUAUCAGCUUGUCGGUGGGGUAGUGGCUUACCAAGGCUUUGACGGGUAGCCGGCCUGAGAGGGUGACCGGCCACAUUGGGACUGAGAUACGGCCCAGACUCCUACGGGAGGCAGCAGUGGGGAAUAUUGCACAAUGGGCGGAAGCCUGAUGCAGCAACGCCGCGUGCGGGAUGACGGCCUUCGGGUUGUAAACCGCUUUCGCCUGUGACGAAGCGUGAGUGACGGUAAUGGGUAAAGAAGCACCGGCUAACUACGUG